AUGAGGAUUAGUGGUGACCCAGCUGUGGAUGCCAACGAGGCCAUACAAAAUGCUGCUACCAGCUGCUUGGAACAUCUUCAGGACACCAUGGAUAUUAAGUUUGAUUGCCCUCAGAUGCAGAAAAUUAAGGCCAAUAUAAGCUACCUGUCCAACACUGUUGCCGAGCAGGCCAGGAAGAUCAGAAAACUGAAGGCUAAGGUGGAAAAAAAGAAAUCUCCAAGGCGUAUUGACAAGAUGGCGGUCAACUACCUGCCUACAUGA
Molecule: ribosomal RNA, 261 nt
Filed under: Triticum aestivum (bread wheat)
Lineage: Eukaryota; Viridiplantae; Streptophyta; Magnoliopsida; Poales; Poaceae
Description: partial small subunit ribosomal RNA
Source: RNAcentral